Long non-coding RNA from Ahaetulla prasina, 461 nucleotides. RefSeq lists it as uncharacterized. The record is from RefSeq and is a predicted model, not a curated record. NCBI's taxonomy places the organism in Eukaryota, Metazoa, Chordata, Lepidosauria, Squamata, Colubridae. The transcript is spliced from 3 exons.
AAAAACACACACCCUGAAUUUCUGGAAACUUUCCAAGGAUUGUUUGUCCCUGUUGGAAUUAUAAGGAUGAUCCAAAUGCCAGAGUCACACAGGAACCGUGCUAUCACCCAACUUUCUAAAAAGAAGAGGAGGGGAAGGAGAAAAGGCUGCCAAAAGCUUUUCACUACUCUGUAACUGGAGUUAGAAUAGGCAAGAUAAUGAAAGUCAGAGUGUGACCUUAAAAGCAAUUGAACAAACCAGACAAUGAAUGAAGAUAUUUGGACAGUAUUAAAGCAAUGAUGGAGACAGAAGAAAAUAAGAAAUUCUUUAGGGCUGAAAAUAUUUUGAUGACCCUAACGAUAUGGGUGCAUCCAGGGUGCUUCUUUUCUUUCCAUACCAUAUUAUAAAUUGCUUUCAAAGCUCUCCUUGAACACUAGCAGAAAUAAUUGUACGGUUCACUGAAUUGCAAUAAAUCUGGCAUG